Molecule: ribosomal RNA, 62 nt
Filed under: Maxillaria lutescens
Lineage: Eukaryota; Viridiplantae; Streptophyta; Magnoliopsida; Asparagales; Orchidaceae
Description: partial 26S ribosomal RNA
Source: RNAcentral
GCGACCCCAGGACGGGCGAGGCCACCCGCCGAGUUUAAGCAUAUCAAUAAGGGGAGGAGAAG